This 423-nucleotide ribosomal RNA is filed under the name uncultured prokaryote. Its description in RNAcentral is "bacterial SSU rRNA". It matches the Rfam family "Bacterial small subunit ribosomal RNA", at positions 355 to 796 of the family's 1533-position model. The record is from RNAcentral.
UGGGGAAUCUUGGACAAUGGGGGCAACCCUGAUCCAGCGACGCCGCGUGGGUGGUAAGGCCUUCGGGUUGUAAAGCCCUUUCACCGGGGAAGAUGAUGACAUUACCCGGAGAAGAAGCGCCGGCUAACUCCGUGCCAGCAGCCGCGGUAAGACGGAGGGCGCUAGCGUUGUUCGGAAUGACUGGGCGUAAAGGGCGCGUAGGCGGCUGUUUAAGUCGAGGGUGAAAGCCCGGGGCUCAACCCCGGAACGGCCUUCGCGACUGGGCUGCACGCGACCGGAAGAGGAGGGUGGAAUACCCAGUGUAGAGGUGAAAUUCGUAGAUAUUGGGUGGAACACGAGUGGCGAAAGCGGCUCUCUGGUCCGGAUCUGACGCUGUGGCGCGAAAGCGUGGGGAGCAAACAGGAUUAGAUACCCGUGUAGUCC